UUUUUGUAAGUAAGGGAUUUUGAAAAUCUUUUCAGAAUUAAACAAUUCACAAAAAA
RNAcentral lists this transfer RNA (56 nucleotides) under Bulinus truncatus. RNAcentral's name for it is "tRNA-Ser". Lineage: Eukaryota; Metazoa; Mollusca; Gastropoda; Planorbidae. The record is from RNAcentral.